RNAcentral lists this ribosomal RNA (1516 nucleotides) under uncultured bacterium. Its description in RNAcentral is "bacterial SSU rRNA". It matches the Rfam family "Bacterial small subunit ribosomal RNA". The record is from RNAcentral.
AGAGUUUGAUCCUGGCUCAGGACGAACGCUGGCGGCGUGCCUAACACAUGCAAGUCGAACGAUUCAGCACUCAAGGUUUACCUUGAAUGCUGGAUAGUGGCGGACGGGUGAGUAACGCGUGAGCAACCUGCCUUUUUGAGGGGGAUAACACCGGGAAACCGGUGCUAAUACCGCAUAAAAUAUCGAGGUCGCAUGGCUUUGAUAUCAAAGGAGUAAUCCGCAAAAAGAUGGGCUCGCGUCCGAUUAGCUAGUUGGUGGGGUAAAGGCCUACCAAGGCGACGAUCGGUAGCCGGACUGAGAGGUUGAACGGCCACAUUGGGACUGAGACACGGCCCAGACUCCUACGGGAGGCAGCAGUGGGGGAUAUUGCACAAUGGGGGAAACCCUGAUGCAGCAACGCCGCGUGAGGGAAGAAGGUUUUCGGAUUGUAAACCUCUGUCCUAGGUGAAGAAAGAAAUGACGGUAGCCUGGGAGGAAGCUCCGGCUAACUACGUGCCAGCAGCCGCGGUAAUACGUAGGGAGCGAGCGUUGUCCGGAAUUACUGGGUGUAAAGGGUGCGUAGGCGGCCUUGUGGGUCAGGCGUGAAAUACAUGGGCUUAACUCAUGGACUGCGCUUGAAACUAUAAGGCUUGAGUGAAGUAGAGGCAGGCGGAAUUCCCGGUGUAGCGGUGAAAUGCGUAGAGAUCGGGAGGAACACCAGUGGCGAAGGCGGCCUGCUGGGCUUUAACUGACGCUGAGGCACGAAAGCAUGGGUAGCAAACAGGAUUAGAUACCCUGGUAGUCCAUGCCGUAAACGAUGAUUACUAGGUGUGGGUGGUCUGACCCCAUCCGUGCCGGAGUUAACACAAUAAGUAAUCCACCUGGGAAGUACGACCGCAAGGUUGAAACUCAAAGGAAUUGACGGGGGCCCGCACAAGCAGUGGAGUAUGUGGUUUAAUUCGAAGCUACGCGAAGAACCUUACCAGGUCUUGACAUCCGACUAACGAAGUAGAGAUACAUUAGGUGCCCUUCGGGGAGAGUCGAGACAGGUGGUGCAUGGUUGUCGUCAGCUCGUGUCGUGAGAUGUUGGGUUAAGUCCCGCAACGAGCGCAACCCUUACUGUUAGUUGCUACGGAAGAGCACUCUAGCAGGACUGCCGUUGACAAAACGGAGGAAGGUGGGGACGACGUCAAAUCAUCAUGCCCCUUAUGACCUGGGCUACACACGUACUACAAUGGCCGUAAACAAAGGGAAGCAAAGCCGCGAGGUGGAGCCAACCCCCAAAAACGGUCCCAGUUCAGAUUGCAGGCUGCAACUCGCCUGCAUGAAGUCGGAAUUGCUAGUAAUCGCAGAUCAGCAUGCUGCGGUGAAUACGUUCCCGGGCCUUGUACACACCGCCCGUCACACCAUGGGAGCCGGUAAUACCCGAAGUCAGUUGCUUAACCUCCGGGGGAGCGCUGCCGAAGGUAGGAUUGGCGACUGGGGUGAAGUCGUAACAAGGUAGCCGUAUCGGAAGGUGCGGCUGGAUCACCUCCUU